UGCCACAAGCAAGCAUUCGGGGACU
RNAcentral lists this non-coding RNA (25 nucleotides) under Mus musculus (house mouse). Lineage: Eukaryota; Metazoa; Chordata; Mammalia; Rodentia; Muridae. The record is from RNAcentral.